This 348-nucleotide ribosomal RNA is filed under the name uncultured eukaryote. Its description in RNAcentral is "bacterial SSU rRNA". It matches the Rfam family "Eukaryotic small subunit ribosomal RNA", at positions 54 to 374 of the family's 1831-position model. The record is from RNAcentral.
AGGCCAUGUCUAGUAUAAUCUUUUACUUUGAACUGCGAAUGGCUCAUUAUAUCAGUUAUAGUUUAUUUGAUAGUCCCUUACUACUUGGAUAACCGUAGUAAUUCUAGAGCUAAUACAUGCGUCAAUACCCUUUUGGGGUGGUAUUUAUUAGAUUGAAACCAACCCCUUCGGGGUGAUGUGGUGAUUCAUAAUAAGCUUGCGGAUCGCACGGCUUGUCCGGCCACGGAUCAUUCAAGUUUCUGCCCUAUCAACUUUGGACGGGAAGGUAUUGGCUUACCGUGGCUUCAACGGGUAACGGGGAAUGGGGCGGGGGCCGCGGGCCGGGCGCGGGGCGCGGCCGGCGGAAAC